Non-coding RNA from Malus domestica (apple), 372 nucleotides. The record is from RefSeq and is a predicted model, not a curated record. NCBI's taxonomy places the organism in Eukaryota, Viridiplantae, Streptophyta, Magnoliopsida, Rosales, Rosaceae.
AUCUUGUGCUUGUAAGUCGUGCUGUUGGAUGAGCACGAAAAAGACAUAGGGUCGGAGCAGAUGGCAGAGUUGGCUGGGGAUGCUGGGAAGAUGAGGUGAGUGGAGUACAAUAACUUUGGAACUUCUUACUGUAGGCAACACUAUUGUUUUUCCUUUCUGUAGGGAGCUUCAAGACUAUCGCUGUUCUGCAUUGGUGGACCUUACGGCCUUGGAAAAGAAUUUCGAGAACGUGCUGAUGUUUCUAUCAAGUUGUCUUCUAUGGUUUUAAACCAUCAAAUUGCAUUAGUUUUGCUUGUAGAGCAACUCUAUAGGUCAUGGACUACUCUGAAAGGACAGAAGUAUCAUCGGUAGCCUUUCUUUUACUGAUCUGAA